Long non-coding RNA from Physella acuta, 1762 nucleotides. RefSeq lists it as uncharacterized. The record is from RefSeq and is a predicted model, not a curated record. Lineage: Eukaryota; Metazoa; Mollusca; Gastropoda; Physidae.
CUAGAUCUAGAGAAGCGGAGGUAAGAAGGUUAAAUUAGUAAUUUACAUGAUUUUUAUUGUAGUUUCACUGUUUGUUAGGCCCAAUUAUUAAAUCUUUAGAUCAGAGGUCCAGCUUGAUCAUGUGUGGUAUCUAUUGUGGUGCAUUGGAAUGAAAAGCCCACAUACUUAAAUAUAGAAUCUAGUAGGCCUAUACUAUAACUGUACUGCCCUAUACUUUAAAUUUGUUACCACAAGAAAAAAGCCUAUUUACUAUUAUUAGUUAUAAUUAAAUUAAAUUGAAAUAUUUGUUUAUCUUUAUAGUUUAUAGUGAAUGCAUGCUAAUGAGCAUUAUUCAAGCUGCUGUUAUAUUUAGGCUUAUAGGCCUAUAUACUCUAUAGCUUAGGCUAUAUACUAUAGACUAUAUAUUAUAUACCAAUAUUGUGCAUAAAACUUAAAGCAUGUAAGCAUACACAAUAAUAAUUAUCAUUAGACCUAUAGUAACUAAGACUCAUACUAUUUAGUACUACUUUAAUACUACCUUUAAACUAUUAGGCAUAAUGAAAUAAUGAUUAAUAAUUUCAGUGUUUUCCGCACUCAAGAGGAAGGAGGUUGCAGGGAACUUAGAGACUAAUCUUUGCCAACAUACUGGAUUUCUGGUGAUGACAAUAGGAGCAAAUAGUAUGCGGCUCAGUUAAUACUAAAAACAAUUGAUUUUAGUAAUUAGUGGACUAUGAGUGUGUGUUUGGUCAUCCAGAUAUCAUAACUACAACUGAUGUUCAAUUACAAGGGAUAUUAAUCAGUCUCCGUGGACUAUACACUGUGCCUAGUUUCAUCCUCAGAGACUGAUGUGUAAGCUUAAAGUAAAGACAUCAAAUCAAAGUAUCAGCUAUCAAGAGGAAGAACAUUCAAAAUCAUAUUGUGAUACACAAAUCAAGCAAGUCUAUAACCAGCAAUAUGAUACAGGCCAAGAAAAAGCUGGAUAUUUGAUUGGAAGGGUGGCACAAAAAAGAUGGGUUAUCACUAGGGAAACAAGCUCGGAAUACAGUUCACUGUUGGGACAUCAAGCCAAAUACUUCUAAACUUAUUUGAAUCAUUUUUGCUGUUUAUUAUAAUUCAUCCAAUUGUCUUAUUAAAUAUAUAAAUUUAUAUAUAUACACAAUUCCUAAUAUAGAAUUUCUAAAAAUGUUUUAUUAUAAUAUUUAAAAAUGAAACAAACAUGUUCCCAGAACACACAAAAUGUCAUUAUGUGCCCAGAACACACAAAAUGGCAACAUGUUCCCAGAACACACAAAAUGGCAACAUGUGCCGAGAACACAAAAAAUGACAACAUGUGCCGUUAACAAUACUUCACUUUUUCCUUAACAAUUUUACAAGCAGGUAAUAAAGCCAUAAAUCUUUACUGUGGAUAUAGCCAAUAAAUAGGGUAACCUUCACUUUAUGCAAUUUGUAGUUUUCAAUGCCUGUCCCAUGCAAAGUAUUUAGCCUAGUGUUUUGGGCCUUGCUUCAUUUACUCAAUAAAUUAUAUAGGCAUGAGAAUUUUCAUUUUAAUCUGCAAAAGCUACAUUCUGUACAUUAUUAUUUUCAAACUACAUCAUAUAUUUUUCUCCUCUCUGAUAAAAAAUAUUCCUCAUAUUGUUUGUGUCAAGUAUUUUAUUUUUAUCUAUGCAAUGCUAUAUUCCUAUUUUAUAAUAAUUACUUUUAUACAAAUUCUUUUGAAAACUGUUCUUUAUUGAUUUGUAUCAUUUUCUUUAUUUCUGAAAAAUAAAACUUUGUUUGGGAAUCC